UAAUAGUACUUGGCACAGCAGUCAUGUUCUAACCUGGUCAGGUCCGGAAGGAAGCAGCCAUACGAUCCUCUGACCGCGUGUGCCAUUUUUUUGUAUAUG
RNAcentral lists this signal recognition particle RNA (99 nucleotides) under Erysipelotrichaceae bacterium. Its description in RNAcentral is "signal recognition particle sRNA small type". It matches the Rfam family "Bacterial small signal recognition particle RNA". Rfam says of the family: The signal recognition particle (SRP) is a universally conserved ribonucleoprotein involved in the co-translational targeting of proteins to membranes. Archaeal SRP consists of a 7S RNA and homologues of the eukaryotic SRP19 and SRP54 proteins. Lineage: Bacteria; Bacillati; Bacillota; Erysipelotrichia; Erysipelotrichales; Erysipelotrichaceae. The record is from RNAcentral.